This 253-nucleotide ribosomal RNA is filed under the name uncultured bacterium. RNAcentral describes it as "partial 16S ribosomal RNA". It matches the Rfam family "Bacterial small subunit ribosomal RNA", at positions 524 to 776 of the family's 1533-position model. The record is from RNAcentral.
UACGUAGGGGGCUAGCGUUGUCCGGAAUCAUUGGGCGUAAAGCGCGCGUAGGCGGCCAGAUAGGUCCGGUGUGAAAGUCACAGGCUCAACCUGUGAAUGCCGCUGGAAACUGUCUGGCUUGAGUCCGGAAGGGGCGAGUGGAAUUCCUGGUGUAGCGGUGAAAUGCGCAGAUAUCAGGAGGAACACCGGUGGCGAAGGCGGGUCUCUGGGCCGAUACUGACGCUGAGGAGCGAAAGCGUGGGGAGCGAACAGG